CCAAUAGCGUAUAUUAAAGUUGUUGCAGUUAAAAAGCUCGUAGUUGAAUUUCGGGAUCAGUACGCUGGUCAUGCCUUUGGUAUGCACUGGUGUCACUGGUUUCUCCCUUCUGAAGAACCGUGAUGUCAUUAAUUUGGUGUCGCGGGGAAUCAGGACUGUUACUUUGAAAACAUUAGAGUGUUUAAAGCAGGCUCACGCUUGAAUACAUUAGCAUGGAAUAAUGAAAUAGGACGUUUGACCCUAUUUUGUUGGUUUCUAGGAUCGACGUAAUGAUUAAUAGGGAUAGUUGGGGGCAUUAGUAUUCAAUUGUCAGAGGUGAAAUUCUUGGAUUUAUUGAAGACUAACUACUGCGAAAGCAUUUGCCAAGGAUGUUUUCAUUAAUCAAGAACGAAAGUUAGGGGAUCGAAGACGAUCAGAUACCGUCGUAGUCUUAACCAUAAACUAUGCCGACUAGGGAUCGGAUGAUGUUAAUUUUAUAAUGACUCAUUCGGCGCCUUACG
RNAcentral lists this ribosomal RNA (500 nucleotides) under uncultured Glomeromycotina. Its description in RNAcentral is "partial small subunit ribosomal RNA". It matches the Rfam family "Eukaryotic small subunit ribosomal RNA", at positions 591 to 1092 of the family's 1831-position model. Lineage: Eukaryota; Fungi; Glomeromycota. The record is from RNAcentral.